RNAcentral lists this ribosomal RNA (119 nucleotides) under Pteropus vampyrus (large flying fox). The record is from RNAcentral. Lineage: Eukaryota; Metazoa; Chordata; Mammalia; Chiroptera; Pteropodidae.
GUCUACGGCCAUGCCACCCUGAACAUGCCCGAUCUUGUCUGAUCUUGUAAGCUAAGCAGGGUUGGGCCUGGUUGGUAUUGGGAUGGGAGACCACCUAGGAAGACUGGGUACUGUAGGUG